This is a long non-coding RNA of Salvelinus sp. IW2-2015, 629 nucleotides long. RefSeq lists it as uncharacterized. NCBI's taxonomy places the organism in Eukaryota, Metazoa, Chordata, Actinopteri, Salmoniformes, Salmonidae. The record is from RefSeq and is a predicted model, not a curated record.
GCCCUCCAUUGCCAAACCUGAAGCACCCUGUCCCGAGCAGGAAAGACAAGGAAAAAGUGUUUGCUUAAGAUCUGCCAACCUGCUCAGUGGGUGAGAGGUAACUGUCUUUCCACCAACCUGUUCCAGGCCUGGAAUGGCACGCUGGAACUUCCAGAGGCUUGUAGACCUGAAGCAGUGUGAUGUGGCCCAGAUAAUUAUCAAACACACGUUUACUGAAUCACUCACUCUGUUUUGUUGUGUAAUUAUUUUAACUUAAGAAAAUUGUUCCUCUCUUUUAGAUCUGACACCCCUAUUAGCUCAACCACAGUCUUCACAGCUGCAGUUUGCCCCUGUAUCUGCUACACCGGUCACGACAGGUGAUACAGAUAUGCCACCCCCAGCAGAUCAGCUGCAGUCACAGCAGUCCUCUACUGUGGUAUUUAGUUUACCGGCUGCACCAGUUCCUACUACACUGGCCGUGAAGGGAGAAACUUUUGAGGAUACCCAGACGGAUACAGAUCUGCCAUUCACUCCACCACUGGCUGACAGCCUCACCCAGAAGUGCAUACACUGGGCCUAUCAAGACUGACAAGCAGAGAUGGGUGGCUGACAAGGAAAAAUAAAACAACAUGUACUCACACACAUUAUCC